GUGGGGUAGCCAAGUGGUAAGGCAUGGGACUGCAACUCCCUGAUCGUCGGUUCAAAUCCGAUCCUCAC
Molecule: transfer RNA, 68 nt
Filed under: human gut metagenome
Rfam family: tRNA
About the family: Transfer RNA (tRNA) molecules are approximately 80 nucleotides in length.
Source: RNAcentral